GCUUGGCUUCUCCUUCUCUGAUCAUCUCUCUCUCUCGACCUCACCAACUCUUUCGCUCUCUCCAUCUCCAUCAUGGCAAAGCUCUCUGAUUCCCGCAAUUCCAACCGUUCCGAUCGUCGGAACAAAUACCUGAAGCCGAAUCCGGGUGGCCGGAAAUCAGGUCCUCGGAAAUUGGCGACUCUAUUCCAGGGUUUGGGGCUCCAAGACAAAACCCCUUCUUCUUUCAUGUUGUCGCCUACGUCGAGCCCUAGCCCUAACCCUAGAUCUGGAAUCCCGAGCGCACCUCCUACUCCCAAUGCACCGGCGAGGCACGGUCUCCGGCCACCGUCUCGCCUCCGGGGCUCGGAUAUGCGGCAGGUUACGGCUGUUCUCUUUCAGAGCCAGAUUUCUCUUUGCAAUUUUAAGCCUUCGGCUAAAGUUUUGUUCUUUGAGGAAGAGGUGUCUGAGGCGCGUGUUUUGUUUAGUGGCUUAAGCCUAGAUUCGUGAUGGGUCCGUUGCUGUGUUGUUCUUGCUGAAUGAAAUCAAACCAGUCAAAAAAAAAAAAAAAAAAAAGUAAAAUUUAUGUUUUGGGUAGUUGUGUUUAUGGGUUUUAAAGUCUAUAGGGGAUCCAAAUGUCUCUGUGUUGUUGUGGUCUGGAUAGGGAGUAUGCAGUUUUAGGAAGUCUUGUGUGAAUUAGGUGGCAAAAGAAUUAUGAUCAUGACCUUCUAAUGGCAAUGUCAAUUUGAAAAGUGCUUGUCAGUGCUUUUUCACUGGCUUUUCGCCGAUGAAUGCAGAAUGCACAAGCAGUGUGGCAACCGCCGCACUCUCUGUUGUGCUAGGUGUACUAGCUGCUAUAUAUUGAUUAUCGUUUCAAAGGAUGCAGGCAUCCACGACAAUUUGGGAUGCUCUCUCUAUGACUGUGAGUUCUAUUCCUCCUUUUCUAUGAUUUUUAUUGAUUGGCUGCUUUUAAACUUGAAAUAUCAAUACCAUUCUGCAUUUUGGUGUUCCUUGGCAAUGCUUUUUUGCUGCUUAGCAUUUAAGGAAAUGCCGAUGCAAGAUUUUUUUGGGUAAUGCUUUUCAUGUGGAAGCCUAGGACAAUUUGCAGAUAAGUUUGUGGUUAUUAUGAAGCCAAUAAGGCUGUGAAUCCAAAAUUUGCUAGAAAUGUUGUGCAGCUUAGUUGGAGUUUUCCUGCAGAGGAUUGGUGGCAGAGACACUCUGCUUCUGGUGUAUUACGGAGUGAUUGUAGUGUUUCAUUGAAGGGGAAUCUCUGCCAUGCUUGGAGUUGGUCAAGAUUUGGAUGCAGAGCUUUGGGGACUUUUAAAGAGAUUGAGAUUGGGAUUGGAUUGGGUUGCAGGUCUCAGCUCGACUCCAACCUAUUCACAUGCUUCAUCAGAGGAUUUGCUAUACAGAACCAAAAAAGCUUGGAGACAACUUGGCUGGGUUAGGGCAUGAUUGUAAUUCUGGUUGCAGAUUUUUCAAUGCCCCUUUUUCUGUUAGAAAAUGAUUUCACCAGGUCUGCUGAUAUUAGUUAGGUUCUUCUUAUCUUUUGGCCUCUGCGAACCCAUAUAUUUUCUCAUGUAUUGGUAGUAGUUGUUUUCCUGGCUAUCUGUACUACAGUAGCAAUAGUAGUCAUAUGUAAACAGCUUCAACUUUAUAAUAUUAUAUCCUUUUUCUGAAUUCUGAAAAAA
Molecule: long non-coding RNA, 1667 nt
Organism: Rosa chinensis
Lineage: Eukaryota; Viridiplantae; Streptophyta; Magnoliopsida; Rosales; Rosaceae
Exons: 2
Source: RefSeq, a predicted model, not a curated record